Molecule: ribosomal RNA, 497 nt
Filed under: uncultured bacterium
Lineage: Bacteria
Description: partial 16S ribosomal RNA
Rfam family: Bacterial small subunit ribosomal RNA
Source: RNAcentral
GAUGAACGCUGGCGGCGUGCCUAAUACAUGCAAGUCGAGCGAACAGACGAGGAGCUUGCUCCUCUUACGUUAGCGGCGGACGGGUGAGUAACACGUGGAUAACCUACCUAUAAGACUGGGAUAACUUCGGGAAACCGGAGCUAAUACCGGAUAAUAUAUUGAACCGCAUGGUUCAAUAGUGAAAGACGGUUUUGCUGUCACUUAUAGAUGGAUCCGCGCCGCAUUAGCUAGUUGGUAAGGUAACGGCUUACCAAGGCAACGAUGCGUAGCCGACCUGAGAGGGUGAUCGGCCACACUGGAACUGAGACACGGUCCAGACUCCUAAGGGAGGCAGCAGUAGGGAAUCUUCCGCAAUGGGAGAAAGCCUGACGGAGCAACGCCGCGUGAGUGAUGAAGGUCUUCGGAUCGUAAAACUCUGUUAUUAGGGAAGAACAAAUGUGUAAGUAACUAUGCACGUCUUGACGGUACCUAAUCAGAAAGCCACGGCUAACUACGUG